Molecule: ribosomal RNA, 253 nt
Filed under: uncultured bacterium
Lineage: Bacteria
Description: partial 16S ribosomal RNA
Rfam family: Bacterial small subunit ribosomal RNA
Source: RNAcentral
UACGUAGGGGGCUAGCGUUGUCCGGAAUCAUUGGGCGUAAAGAGCUUGUAGGCGGUCUGUCGCGUCUGCUGUGAAAAUCCGGGGCUCAACCCCGGACUUGCAGUGGGUACGGGCAGACUAGAGUGUGGUAGGGGAGACUGGAAUUCCUGGUGUAGCGGUGAAAUGCGCAGAUAUCAGGAGGAACACCGAUGGCGAAGGCAGGUCUCUGGGCCACUACUGACGCUGAGGAGCGAAAGCGUGGGGAGCGAACAGG